GUGUCAGCCGCCGCGGUAAUACGUAGGUGGCAAGCGUUGUCCGGAUUUAUUGGGUUUAAAGGGUGCGUAGGCGGCUUUAUAAGUCAGUGCUGAAAUAUCCCGGCUUAACCGGGAGGGUGGCAUUGAUACUGCAGAGCUUGAGUGAAGUCGAGGUAGGCGGAAUUGACGGUGUAGCGGUGAAAUGCUUAGAUAUCGUCAAGAACACCGAUAGUGAAGACAGCUUACUAGACUUCAACUGACGCUGAGGCACGAAAGUGUGGGGAUCAAACAGGAUUAGAAACCCGCGUAGUCC
Molecule: ribosomal RNA, 292 nt
Filed under: uncultured bacterium
Lineage: Bacteria
Description: partial 16S ribosomal RNA
Rfam family: Bacterial small subunit ribosomal RNA
Source: RNAcentral